Molecule: unclassified non-coding RNA, 2768 nt
Filed under: Hevea brasiliensis (rubber tree)
Lineage: Eukaryota; Viridiplantae; Streptophyta; Magnoliopsida; Malpighiales; Euphorbiaceae
Source: RNAcentral
GAAAUUGUGAAGCACCAAAAUAAGAGCUAUUUUCCCUCAGAGGAUGCAUGCCCUUCCAUUCCCAUGACUGAAUUGAUCUUGCUACUGAAUAUGCAACUCACUUAACUUCCUAGUUUAAGGACAAUGUCGAGACAAGUUUUGCAUAAAUGCUGCUGCCUAAUCACCAUGAUUUUUCCUUUCCUUUUCUUUUUAUCAUUUGAAAUAUUAUCAAUAGUCAAAGCCCUCUUUAAGUAACCUUUCAAGGGAUAAAGCAAGCUUCAAAGAUGCACAAACCGUCCAAAUUGUUUUCAUGGAUAAUUGGUUUAUUCGUUCUUUUAGGUAUCUUUAAUAAUGGGAUGACAAUAGGAUUUCCAAAUUACCAUUCUCAUCUCCCUUUGUUUAUUCCUAUUCUCCCUUAUGCACACUAGACCAUGUCAUGCAACAAACAAAUAAAAAAAUUUGAAAAGUUUCUUAGCUUCUAAUCUUGAGCAUUCCAUGUAGAAACACAUCCCAAGUUUUCCCUCUAGAGGAUGAUUGCAUAUGGAUGUUGACUAUGGCAUCCUUGUCCCUAACUAUUAAGAAACGGUCAAUUAAUUGGCUUUUAAUUGAGGAUUUGCUGCAUUCAAUUGCAAUGCCAAGAAAAAAAAAAUCAAUUAACUGUUGCCCACAUCAAAUAUGACAUAAAGAAAAAGCUCAUUUGACCUCUUUCUAACAAAUUCACUUUCGCCAUCAUAUGUUACCUUAACCACCUUUGUUGUGCACCUAUUAUGAUUCCAUUCCACACCUGAUAAUCAUUGAUUUUCAGAUGUUGUUUAUCAACAUCCUGCUUCACCACAUGGUCUUCAAUCUCAUUGCACACAUUGCCUCAAAGAAAUUUCUAAUUAAGCAGUUUAAUAAUUUGAUAAACACUACAAAUUCUUAAAAUCAUAUUGCUAUUAUCUUUAGAUUCACUUCAAAUAUUCAAGUUCACUUUAAUAGAGUACAACUAACUGAUAGAAGCUUAGCCUGAGUUCAACUGUGUUGAAAUUAGCCAAAAAGAAAAAAGAAAAAACUCAAAACGGUACUCAAAUCAUGCUGGUAAUGUGGUUGUCUAUCGCCAACCACUAUCAUAUGCUGUCCCCAACAACAUUGAUUUGCGACACCACCCACUCCUGAAUCUCCUCCUGGCAACUCCAAAAGUCUUCCAAUCUUAUCAUUGAAUAAGGUAUAGGGAAAAGAAAUGUGAAAUAAAUUGAAGAUUGGGGAAUAUAUUUUGUAAGGAUAAUCCCUCAAUUGUUGAUCAACUGUUGUUGUCUAUAGUAUAGCAUGAAUCAUUUAGCAAACUCUGAUCAAUUACUAAUUGACCAUGUUGUUGAAUUUGCUUCCUGAUCAUGAGAUAGGAUCACAAGUCAACGAACUUUAACUUCAUUUUUUUUUUCCUUGAAAGAAAGUAAGGUAAUUGUUUUUCAUCUUUAGUUGCUAUUUGCUUUAGCUUGCAAAAGGUUUGUUUCAGUUAAAAAUCAUAGGCCCACGAGUGUUGAUCAACAAAUAGGCAAGCCUCCAUGUCAUUUUGUUUUGGUAUUGCCCCAUUUAUAAACCCUUCCAUUUUCACAUGCACAGCCGAUGUGGGACAUUGUCUCUUAAGUCCAUAUUCCAACACUGCUUCUCAAAUGUAGCUGGGUUCAGCUCAGAGCCUCAGACUUCAUAGACCCAAUUGUUACUUGGCAUUGCAUGGGAUGACUCAUCUAAUUUGGGUAUGGCUCCUCUUGGCUUUGCUCUCAAAGUCUAGCUUCUCUUAGCUAGCCCAUGGGUCGACCUAAGUCUGGCUUAUAUUGGCUCAGCUCACAAGUUUGGGUCAUUCAGGCUCAGUCCACAAUAUUUUUGGGCCCAGAUCUAUGGCCGUUGGGCAUCACUGCUUCAAUACCAUAUUGAAAAUUAAGGCCCACAAGUGUGGAUCGAUAAAAACCCAAACCACCAUGCUAAAAUGGGCUUGAAAUUGGGCUACCUAUUGCCAAAAUGGCCUAAGGCAUUUUGGUUUGGCUUUGACCCAUUUAUAAACCCUUUCAUUUUCUCAAGUGCCACUGAUGUGGGACUUUGUCCUUUAAGUCCAUAUUCCAACAGUUUCUUGCAUAGAUCACAUUCCUAAGUGGUCAUUUUCUAUCUUAUUUGAUGUCCCUUAAAAAAAAGGAUAUACCAAACACAAAUACUCUUUUUGUUGGCUGCCCAUCUACUUACCCGCCAAGACUACAUUUUUUUUAUAGAACUAACAAAAGAAUAUUUAGCCACCAAGACUGCUCACUUUCAUCCACCAUCCCUCCAUUGCCCCUCUCUCGAAGAAAAAGAAAUAACUCUUGAAUAUAUGCAAGCCCUGCAUUUGAGGAUAAAGAAAUUACUUCUGAAUUUGGUACGAGUGGUGUUCUGUUCCUAGACUGAUAUAUUUCAAGAUGACAAGAUCUGUAUCAAAUGGCAACUACACAAAAUUGUUGCCCAAAUAUGCUCUUUUGAAAGAUAAGUUAACUAUGAAAUUCUCCUUCUCUCUCUAAUACCAGUAUAUUUUACACAUAACUUUUGCCUUGUGAUGCAGUCAAUGAAAACUAGAUUUAGGAAUUAUUUUUUUGAAUUUUUAAUUGUGAAAUUAAGAUAUUUAGUUUGCAUUUUCUAGUAAAAUUUUUAUUAGGAAGUUUAGAUUUCUAUUUUUUAGGAAUAUUUAAAAAGUUACAGUAGGUUUAGAAUUUCAUAGGUAGUAUUAGUUCAGUAUUUUCCUAUUUUGAGAUUCCUAAUUCUUGUAGUAGUAGGAUUAGUUAUUAGUC